Acanthosepion pharaonis is the source of this 89-nucleotide non-coding RNA. The record is from the annotation of a GenBank genome assembly. NCBI's taxonomy places the organism in Eukaryota, Metazoa, Mollusca, Cephalopoda, Sepiida, Sepiidae.
UUACGGUCAAAUCACGUUGAAAACACCGGUUCUCGUUCGAUCACCGAAGUUAAGCAUCGUAGAGCCAGGUCAGUACUUAGAUGGGGACC